RNAcentral lists this transfer RNA (31 nucleotides) under Saucerottia beryllina (Berylline hummingbird). RNAcentral's name for it is "partial tRNA-Met". Lineage: Eukaryota; Metazoa; Chordata; Aves; Apodiformes; Trochilidae. The record is from RNAcentral.
GAAAAUGAUGGUUUAACCCNUUCCCUUAUUA